UACGAAGGGGGCUAGCGUUGCUCGGAAUCACUGGGCGUAAAGCGCACGUAGGCUGAUUGUUAAGUCAGGGGUGAAAUCCUGGAGCUCAACUCCAGAACUGCCUUUGAUACUGCCGUGCUUGAGGACUGGAGAGGAGACUGGAAUUUACGGUGUAGCGGUGAAAUGCGUAGAUAUCGUAAGGAAGACCAGUGGCGAAGGCGGGUCUCUGGACAGUUCCUGACGCUGAGGCACGAAGGUCAGGGGAGCAAACGGG
This 253-nucleotide ribosomal RNA is filed under the name uncultured bacterium. RNAcentral's name for it is "partial 16S ribosomal RNA". It matches the Rfam family "Bacterial small subunit ribosomal RNA", at positions 524 to 776 of the family's 1533-position model. The record is from RNAcentral.